UCAAGGCUAUUACAUCACUAGCUUUUGGAACCGAUACCUCUGCUAUCGACUGUGUGUAGAGGAUUAAGACGAGAAUCAUAGAGAGUCUGAACUUACUGUCUAUAUUACUUGCUCGAUACGUAUACUUGCGUGUGCAAAAUUAAUAACAAAAAGACCAAAAUAACCUUAUUUUUUUUCAAGUCUAUGCUUAAUGUAUCAAUACAUAGGGAUAAUGUAUCGAUACAUUUUGCCUUAAGUUCAUGUAUCGAUACAUGAUGAACAUUUAUUGAUACAUGUUCAUAGAAAGCCCUUUUUGGAUUUGAUGUAUCGAUACAUUUUGUCAAGAACGUAGAUUUUAAGUCCAAAACCAUGCCAUUU
This 357-nucleotide long non-coding RNA is filed under the name Theobroma cacao (cacao). RNAcentral's name for it is "long non-coding RNA (TCAC_LNC001965)". The record is from RNAcentral. Lineage: Eukaryota; Viridiplantae; Streptophyta; Magnoliopsida; Malvales; Malvaceae.